GACGAACGCUGGCGGCGUGCUUAACACAUGCAAGUCGAACGGAAAGGCCCUGCUUUUGUGGGGUGCUCGAGUGGCGAACGGGUGAGUAACACGUGAGUAACCUGCCCUUGACUUUGGGAUAACUUCAGGAAACUGGGGCUAAUACCGGAUAGGAGCUCCUGCUGCAUGGCGGGGGUUGGAAAGUUUCGGCGGUUGGGGAUGGACUCGCGGCUUAUCAGCUUGUUGGUGGGGUAGUGGCUUACCAAGGCUUUGACGGGUAGCCGGCCUGAGAGGGUGACCGGCCACAUUGGGACUGAGAUACGGCCCAGACUCCUACGGGAGGCAGCAGGUGGGAAUAUUGCACCAUGGGCGGAAGCCUGAUGCAGCAACGCCGCGUGCGGGAUGACGGCCUUCGGGUUGUAAACCGCUUUCGCCUGUGACGAAGCGUGAGUGACGGUAAUGGGUAAAGAAGCACCGGCUAACUACGUG
Molecule: ribosomal RNA, 468 nt
Filed under: uncultured bacterium
Lineage: Bacteria
Description: partial 16S ribosomal RNA
Rfam family: Bacterial small subunit ribosomal RNA
Source: RNAcentral